AGAGGGAGCAUACAUUCAUUAAAGACCCAACUCAAACCCUAUAGCUCUAUAUUUAACCUCAACAUGCAUCUUUUCCCUUUAAACCUUCAUAAAACUCAAUUCAAAACAGAAGAGAGGCAAGGAUCUAGGCUUACCUCUUGGAGAUCUAGGAGUGACAGCAACCCCAACGUGGAGAUGAGUCAAACGGUCUCCAAGGCUUCAAAAACUCGGGUUUAAGCUUAGAUCUUCAAAGACAAGAGAAAACUCGUAAAAACAUUGAAGGAUUUGAAAGAAAAUCAAAAAAUCAACAAAGGGAGGGCAAGAACUCACCUUUGCCCGAAAAUGGGAAGAAAAACUCUCCCGUUUUUGGACUGGGGGCCUCUUAUAGGUGGCUGGCCAGACCACCUUCGGGGGCCGAAAGAGCUUCCGCGGCAGCACCAUGUUCGGCGGCCGAACCUGGGCUUAUCCCUCAAAAACAUUUUUCUUCUUUUAAAAACUUUAAUCCAAAAACUUAGCAUUAAAACCAUAAAAAGCAUUUUGUAAAAAUAUAUUUUACCCUUCUAGAGGUCCCAGCAUUCGAGAUUCCGGAUUCCAAUAGAGAUUCCGUCGGAAGAUUGGAAUUCCGACACCAAAGUCUAGCCGAGUAUUACACUUAAAGUCCCCUUAUAGAAUCGAAGGUCAAAUUUUCGAAGGCAUGUUAGAUGGCCAAAAGGCAGCCUUCACAGAUAGACAUAACAUUUCCUGUGAAUUCGAUGAUGAUGUGGCUGACUACUUGAUAAGGGGCAUCACCAGUUAAGCCGAACCUGGAUUCUUCUGCAAUGCAAAACCCGAUUCUGCCUCAGUCCAUAGCCACCAAAACGUGAUAAAACCCACAUGCAACAGCUCAUAAACAACUAUACACAAAAGGAACACCUAAACUUCAUCAGCAUCAACAACACAAGAAGUAUUAUCCAUUAUAAGAAAACUAGAAACUUAAGCUCCAACACAUAUAAAAGAUCUUGCUUGCAUCACCAACCAUAGAAACAACUAAUGCCUCUUUUAAAAUCCCAACAACAGAAGAGAGGCAAUGAUUAAACUUAUCCCUAGGAAGAAGUACCAACACAGCAAUAAGGAGAAAUUCGGAAAGGAAGAAGAAAUGAGCUCUGAAGAUCUCAAAAGUUAAAACUUUGAAACACUGAGCUUGAUUUCUUCAAAACAAAAGGUAAAACUCAUGAGAAAACUGUGAAAAAAAAAAGAAUUUGUAAAAAAGAAGAGCAGAAGACUUACCUCUACUCGAAAUGGAGUAAAAAUUUUCUCCUUUUUGGGCAGAGCCCCUUUUAUAGGUGACUGGAAAAACCACAUUCAGCGGUCUAGCUUGAAGGUUUGGUGGCUGAAUCUUAAAAAUUUUCUAAAACUGUUUUUUUUUUUUUUAAAUACAUCAUAAAAUGCUUCAAACUCAUUUUAUAAAAAAUUCAUUUUACCCUUCUAAAGUUUUCGAUUCCAAGAUUCCAGAUUUCAAUGGAAAUUCCAUCGAGAAGUUAGAAUUCCGACAUCGGAGUUUAGCCGGGUAUUCCAUGAAACAUCCCAACAGCAAAACAACCACAAAUCAUAAACCGAACUCAAAAGUAAGGCUUAAGAAAGGAAGGAAUCAAUGACAAAUUACGAAAUAAACUCACCCUGACGUUGCUGAGCACAACCACCCGAAUGAAAAUAGAGGCAAGGAGAGAUGUCAUGGCUUUUCCGGUCUAUAUAGUCCUAGAGUAACCAUUCAGAGGGCCUCCGGUGUUGAUAAUCCAUCAAACCAAACCACCCAAACUUCAAUCGACUAAAGAAGACUGGAGAGAAAGACCGUAUCCAUGCAACCAGAGAAACUUCAUACCAGAUCCAAAAUUUUCACAUAAAAACUUAAACAACCAUAAGAUCGAAAGAAAAUUUGACCAAAACAAAACAACAUGACUUGUACAAUCCCUGCCCAUAAGGGCAAGAACCCAAAAUCAUAAACCCAAAUAAUAUCCCGUUCUGUUCUCUCUCUAGAACUCCUUUUUUCUUAUUUUAGAGUUUAGAACCAACUAACCAAAUUGUAAUCUGAUUCUAAUAUGUUAGCUUUUAUUUUUUUUUUAAAAAAGUCAUAUAAUAUCAAUUAUGACAUAAAUGUACAGUAAACAGACAUAUUGGGUAC
Molecule: long non-coding RNA, 2137 nt
Filed under: Manihot esculenta (cassava)
Lineage: Eukaryota; Viridiplantae; Streptophyta; Magnoliopsida; Malpighiales; Euphorbiaceae
Description: long non-coding RNA (MESC_LNC004955)
Source: RNAcentral